This 74-nucleotide transfer RNA is filed under the name Myotis brandtii (Brandt's bat). It matches the Rfam family "tRNA". From Rfam's summary of the family: Transfer RNA (tRNA) molecules are approximately 80 nucleotides in length. Their secondary structure includes four short double-helical elements and three loops (D, anti-codon, and T loops). Further hydrogen bonds mediate the characteristic L-shaped molecular structure. tRNAs have two regions of fundamental functional importance: the anti-codon, which is responsible for specific mRNA codon recognition, and the 3' end, to which the tRNAs corresponding amino acid is attached (by aminoacyl-tRNA synthetases). tRNAs cope with the degeneracy of the genetic code in two manners: having more than one tRNA (with a specific anti-codon) for a particular amino acid; and 'wobble' base-pairing, i.e. permitting non-standard base-pairing at the 3rd anti-codon position. Lineage: Eukaryota; Metazoa; Chordata; Mammalia; Chiroptera; Vespertilionidae. The record is from Rfam by way of RNAcentral.
GCUGGUGUGGCUCAGUGGUUAGAGCCUCGGCCUGCGGACCGAAGGGUCCCAGGUUCGAUUCCUGGUCAAGGGCA